This 512-nucleotide ribosomal RNA is filed under the name uncultured bacterium. Its description in RNAcentral is "partial 16S ribosomal RNA". It matches the Rfam family "Bacterial small subunit ribosomal RNA", at positions 28 to 507 of the family's 1533-position model. The record is from RNAcentral.
GAUGAACGCUGGCGGCGUGCCUAAUACGUGCAAGUCGAACGAAACUUCUUUAUCACCGAGUGCUUGCACUCACCGAUAAAGAGUUGAGUGGCGAACGGGUGAGUAACACGUGGGCAACCUGCCCAAAAGAGGGGGAUAACACUUGGAAACAGGUGCUAAUACCGCAUAACCAUAGUUACCGCAUGGUAACUAUGUAAAAGGUGGCUAUACUACCGCUUUUGGAUGGGCCCGCGGCGCAUUAGCUAGUUGGUAGGGUAAAGGCUUACCAAGGCAAUGAUGCGUAGCCGAAUUGAGAGGUUGAUCGGCCACAUUGGGACUGAGACACGGCCCAAACUCCUACGGGAGGCAGCAGUAGGGAAUCUUCCACAAUGGGCGAAAGCCUGAUGGAGCAACGCCGCGUGGGUGAAGAAGGUCUUCGGAUCGUAAAACCCUGUUGUUAGAGAAGAAAGUGCGUGAGAGUAACUGUUCACGUUUCGACGGUAUCUAACCAGAAAGCCACUGCUAACUACGUG